UUGGUGGCCCAAGAGUAAUCUCCACUAAGCCUAGGGGUGCCCCCAUCCCUUAAACAGCUCAGGGGUGCAUGCCAGAGGGCAGGAGACAAUCAGACUGUGUUCCUCCUCCCCAGUUCGAACUGGAUCUCCCUCCUUGGUCCUCUGCAGCUUGGCAUGACCUUCGCCCUCAGCCCCAGCCCACCCCUCACCUCUUGCGGGUCGGGGGUCCUCACGCCAGGCCGGAGGUGGACGCCAUGACCAGCCUGAAUAAGCAUCGGGGCUCUCUGGCUGCCUCCUUCAGCCUUCAUACCAGAGCCCGGAGAGGCCCCUGUCAAAAUAAGAGCUCCCCCAUCUCGCUCGCCUCCUUGCCCAACCCGGCUCCCCCAGCCUCCCAGUGGUCUGACUCGACCGAGGAGAAGACGCGCCGACAACAUCCCACGCUGGGGAGAAGUUUGACAAUCUACCCUACCCUCCUAUCAAUACCGAUUGGAAUGAGCAGGAUCCCUGGACUCCCUCAACCCUCACCAAACACACUGCUGGGUCCCCUCUUUAUUGUACAUAGCCACAUUCAUUAUGCAUCUCCCUUAUUCCUCUCUCUUUCCUAGCAGACCAUGAAGUUCUUGAGGACAUAGACUGAUUUUUUUCUCUCAAGUCUCAGUACAAAGUAGAUGCUAAGAAAACGUUUAUGGUAGUGGAAACUUUGUCUUCUCCAAAGACCUCUCUCUCCCCUAACCUCAUACUGAUAUAUAUAUACACACACACUCACACACACACACACAAGAUCCAAUGUGAGAAUAGAUGCAACAAGAAAGAAAUGGUAAAGGACUUUUUUAAAGCAUUUCACAUAUAUUAUUUCAAUGUUUAUCACAAACCCAUGAGGAAGAUGUUAUGGCCACAUUACACAGGUAAAAAAACUGAAGUUUGCACUAGUGAAAGACUCACUCCAGGUUUCACAGCUAGAAAACGGUAAGCCCAGAACUAGAAUUUGUGUCUCCUUAUCACAAGGCACUUUCCCUGUAUCCCACUGCCCUGACCCACCCAGAAUUAAUACCAAGUAACAAGCAUUGACUGUUUUUCAAAGGAAGAGCCCCGGCAAGCCUAUUUGCUCCUGCUAUGAUUCCUCUGCUAGCUCCUCUGCCCCUGCUCAGAGAGCUCUAGCCCUCUCCUGCCUCCCUCUCUUCCGACCAUAUAUUAUAUCUAUGACACCCACUGGGUACCUAUUUAAAUGUUUUCUUUUGUUUGUCCUGUAUAUAUGUCUGGUUGCUCCAAAAGAUUCUUGAGGAUCCAGACAAUGCCUCCUGUGCCUCUAUAUUCCCUACAACACUGAAGUGCUGGGGUCAUAGUAGAGCUUCAAUAAAUAUUCACCUGAUGGGUGGAUGGUGCCAGCAACUGGCCACUGGGCCAGGCCUAGGGAUAUAUAGAAGGGGGACAAAUCCUGAAAGAAGAUAACACUUGUGGGUGCUUAACAUCACUGUUUACGAAGCAUUUUCAUACAUAUGAUAUGUUGAUCAUGCUUUGAUCCAGUUGACAAAAUUUCCCCAAAUGUCUACUAAUUGCUGUGCCAAGCACAAAGCUGGGUUAAAGAUUGACUCAUCAUCACAACCCUGAGCCACGUGAGCCAGGUAUUAUUCCCACUUAAAGAAA
Molecule: long non-coding RNA, 1623 nt
Organism: Phyllostomus discolor (pale spear-nosed bat)
Lineage: Eukaryota; Metazoa; Chordata; Mammalia; Chiroptera; Phyllostomidae
Exons: 3
Source: RefSeq, a predicted model, not a curated record